UCUAUCUGCAGUCGAGCGAAUGAUGAGGAGCUUGCUCCUCUGAUUUAGCGGCGGACGGGUGAGUAACACGUGGGUAAUCUGCCUGUAAGACGGGGAUAACUCCGGGAAACCGGGGCUAAUACCGGAUAAUAAAAAGAAACGCAUUUCUUCUUUUUGAAAGUCGGUUUCGGCUGACACUUACAGAUGAGCCCGCGGCGCAUUAGCUAGUUGGUGAGGUAACGGCUCACCAAGGCGACGAUGCGUAGCCGACCUGAGAGGGUGAUCGGCCACACUGGGACUGAGACACGGCCCAGACUCCUACGGGAGGCAGCAGUAGGGAAUCUUCGGCAAUGGGCGAAAGCCUGACCGAGCAACGCCGCGUGAGCGAUGAAGGCCUUCGGGUCGUAAAGCUCUGUUGUUAGAGAAGAACAAGUACGAGAGUAACUGCUCGUACCUUGACGGUACCUAACCAGAAAGCCACGGCUAACUACGUGCCAGCAGCCGCGGUAAUACGUAGGUGGCAAGCGUUAUCCGGAAUUAUUGGGCGUAAAGCGCGCGCAGGCGGUCUCUUAAGUCUGAUGUGAAAGCCCACGGCUCAACCGUGGAGGGUCAUUGGAAACUGGGAGACUUGAGUGCAGGAGAGAAAAGUGGAAUUCCACGUGUAGCGGUGAAAUGCGUAGAGAUGUGGAGGAACACCAGUGGCGAAGGCGGCUUUUUGGCCUGUAACUGACGCUGAGGCGCGAAAGCGUGGGGAGCAAACAGGAUUAGAUACCCUGGUAGUCCACGCCGUAAACGAUGAGUGCUAGGUGUUGGGGGGUUCCACCCUCAGUGCUGAAGUUAACACAUUAAGCACUCCGCCUGGGGAGUACGACCGCAAGGUUGAAACUCAAAGGAAUUGACGGGGGCCCGCACAAGCAGUGGAGCAUGUGGUUUAAUUCGAAGCAACGCGAGAACCUUACCAGGUCUUGACAUCCUCUGACCACUCUAGAGAUAGAGCUUUCCUCUUCGGGGGAC
RNAcentral lists this ribosomal RNA (993 nucleotides) under uncultured prokaryote. RNAcentral describes it as "bacterial SSU rRNA". It matches the Rfam family "Bacterial small subunit ribosomal RNA", at positions 50 to 1027 of the family's 1533-position model. The record is from RNAcentral.